GUCAACCUUGCUAAAGAAAGUGGAAUCCUCACUUCCAGACGGAUUGAUUGGCUACUAUUCAUUUCGCAAAUGAUCCUGAUUGGACAGCUCUCUUGUCAGCUGCAGUACCGCAUACAGUCGCUAUCAAGUCUCCCCCACUGCUUUCUCGCGGUGAGAUCAGAUGCGGAGCCCAGCGCAGGACUGACACAGUUUCAGCACCACUUGUCUUGGUGGGAUGUAGACAACGAGACUGAGAUGGAGUGAAGAGGAAAGAGCCUAUUGUUAAGGGCAGGAGCCAGCUGUGUGAGAAUCAAGUGCUGGCGAGAAGAAUGCAAGGGAACACCCCUGGGACCUCUAAUGGAAUGGAAUAGUACAAUGGCUGCAUUGAGGAAAAACGACAACCCCCCUUUUCAACCAGAAUCCCACCACUAGGCUGUAUUAAAGCAGUCGAGGGUAUUGAAUUAAUGUCAAGCAUCUCGUGGAGGCAGCAUCAUGCUGCACCGCUGGAAGUAGCUGGAGGACCACCCAUGGAGAUUCCACCUUCUCGACGUUCUCAAUGCUCCUAA
RNAcentral lists this long non-coding RNA (545 nucleotides) under Salmo trutta (river trout). RNAcentral's name for it is "lncRNA (ENSSTUG00000044300.1)". Lineage: Eukaryota; Metazoa; Chordata; Actinopteri; Salmoniformes; Salmonidae. The record is from RNAcentral.